RNAcentral lists this ribosomal RNA (468 nucleotides) under uncultured bacterium. Its description in RNAcentral is "partial 16S ribosomal RNA". It matches the Rfam family "Bacterial small subunit ribosomal RNA", at positions 28 to 507 of the family's 1533-position model. The record is from RNAcentral.
GACGAACGCUGGCGGCGUGCUUAACACAUGCAAGUCGAACGGAAAGACCCUGCUUUCUUGGGGUUCUCGAGUGGCGAACGGGUGAGUAACACGUGAGUAUCCUGCCCUUGACUUUGGGAUAACUUCAGGAAACUGGGGCUACUACCGGAUAGCAGCUCCUGCUGCAUGGUGGGGGUUGGAACUUUUCGGCUGUUGGGGAUGGACUCGCGGCUUAUCAGUUUGUUGGUUGGGUAGUUGCUUACCCAGGCAUUGAAGGGUAGCCCGCCUGAGAGGGUAGCCGGGGACAAGGGGACUGAGAUAGGGAGCAGACUGGAACGGGGGGCAAUGGGGGGGAGUAUGACACAGUGGGCGGAAGCGUGAGGAAGAGACGCCGGGUGCGGGAAGACGGCCUUCGGGGGGUGAACCGCAGUAGGCUGAGACGAAGCGGGAGUGACGGUAAUGGGUAAAGAAGCACCGGCUAACUAUGUG